UUUAAUUGAAGAGUUUGAUCAUGGCUCAGAUUGAACGCUGGCGGCAGGCCUAACACAUGCAAGUCGAGCGGUAACAUGAACUAGCUUGCUAGUUUGAUGACGAGCGGCGGACGGGUGAGUAAUGCCUGGGAAUUUGCCCAUUCGAGGGGGAUAACAGUUGGAAACGACUGCUAAUACCGCAUACGCCCUAAGGGG
This 195-nucleotide ribosomal RNA is filed under the name Shewanella fodinae. RNAcentral describes it as "partial 16S ribosomal RNA". It matches the Rfam family "Bacterial small subunit ribosomal RNA", at positions 1 to 187 of the family's 1533-position model. The record is from RNAcentral. Lineage: Bacteria; Pseudomonadati; Pseudomonadota; Gammaproteobacteria; Alteromonadales; Shewanellaceae.